This 228-nucleotide long non-coding RNA is filed under the name Elaeis guineensis (African oil palm). Its description in RNAcentral is "long non-coding RNA (EGUI_LNC020562)". The record is from RNAcentral. Lineage: Eukaryota; Viridiplantae; Streptophyta; Magnoliopsida; Arecales; Arecaceae.
GGAUCAUCAUAAGAACAGUAAUCGAUCUGAAUAGACUGAUGCACAUAUAAUUUUCUUCGAGAUAGAUGAGUCUUUGGUCUACAAUGUAGAGACACUGGAUGAUGAGUGCAGGUAGUUAUUAGAAAACAACUAGUACUGAGCGUGACCAUACGAGAGAUCACUUAAAUUUUUAUUCAAUCAUCAGUGAUUGUCUCAAUGUUGUAGUUAUAUGAUUGAUCUUUUGACCUG